This 1343-nucleotide ribosomal RNA is filed under the name uncultured bacterium. RNAcentral's name for it is "16S ribosomal RNA". It matches the Rfam family "Bacterial small subunit ribosomal RNA", at positions 28 to 1378 of the family's 1533-position model. The record is from RNAcentral.
GACGAACGCUGUUGGCGUGCUUGACACAUGCAAGUCGAACGGAAAGGCCCUGCUUUUGUGGGGUGCUCGAGUGGCGAACGGGUGAGUAACACGUGAGUAACCUGCCCUUGACUUUGGGAUAACUUCAGGAAACUGGGGCUAAUACCGGAUAGGAGCUCCUGCUGCAUGGUGGGGGUUGGAAAGUUUCGGCGGUUGGGGAUGGACUCGCGGCUUAUCAGCUUGUUGGUGGGGUAGUGGCUUACCAAGGCUUUGACGGGUAGCCGGCCUGAGAGGGUGACCGGCCACAUUGGGACUGAGAUACGGCCCAGACUCCUACGGGAGGCAGCAGUGGGGAAUAUUGCACAAUGGGCGGAAGCCUGAUGCAGCAACGCCGCGUGCGGGAUGACGGCCUUCGGGUUGUAAACCGCUUUCGCCUGUGACGAAGCGUGAGUGACGGUAAUGGGUAAAGAAGCACCGGCUAACUACGUGCCAGCAGCCGCGGUGAUACGUAGGGUGCGAGCGUUGUCCGGAUUUAUUGGGCGUAAAGGGCUCGUAGGUGGUUGAUCGCGUCGGAAGUGUAAUCUUGGGGCUUAACCCUGAGCGUGCUUUCGAUACGGGUUGACUUGAGGAAGGUAGGGGAGAAUGGAAUUCCUGGUGGAGCGGUGGAAUGCGCAGAUAUCAGGAGGAACACCAGUGGCGAAGGCGGUUCUCUGGGCCUUUCCUGACGCUGAGGAGCGAAAGCGUGGGGAGCGAACAGGCUUAGAUACCCUGGUAGUCCACGCUGUAAACGGUGGGUACUAGGUGUGGGGUCCAUUCCACGGGUUCCGUGCCGUAGCUAACGCUUUAAGUACCCCGCCUGGGGAGUACGGCCGCAAGGCUAAAACUCAAAGGAAUUGACGGGGCCCCGCACAAGCGGCGGAGCAUGCGGAUUAAUUCGAUGCAACGCGUAGAACCUUACCUGGGUUUGACAUGGAUCGGGAGUGCUCAGAGAUGGGUGUGCCUCUUUUGGGGUCGGUUCACAGGUGGUGCAUGGCUGUCGUCAGCUCGUGUCGUGAGAUGUUGGGUUAAGUCCCGCAACGAGCGCAACCCUUGUUCACUGUUGCCAGCACGUUAUGGUGGGGACUCAGUGGAGACCGCCGGGGUCAACUCGGAGGAAGGUGGGGAUGACGUCAAGUCAUCAUGCCCCUUAUGUCCAGGGCUUCACGCAUGCUACAAUGGCUGGUACAGAGAGUGGCGAGCCUGUGAGGGUGAGCGAAUCUCGGAAAGCCGGUCUCAGUUCGGAUUGGGGUCUGCAACUCGACCUCAUGAAGUCGGAGUCGCUAGUAAUCGCAGAUCAGCAACGCUGCGGUGAAUACGUUCCCGGG